This 73-nucleotide transfer RNA is filed under the name Candidatus Nanohalarchaeota archaeon. RNAcentral describes it as "Candidatus Nanohaloarchaeota archaeon tRNA-Thr". It matches the Rfam family "tRNA". Rfam says of the family: Transfer RNA (tRNA) molecules are approximately 80 nucleotides in length. Their secondary structure includes four short double-helical elements and three loops (D, anti-codon, and T loops). The record is from RNAcentral. RNAcentral also lists the same sequence under 2 other names. Lineage: Archaea; Nanobdellati; Candidatus Nanohalarchaeota.
GCCCGGGUGGCUCAGCUGGUAGAGCGUUGCCUUGGUAAGGCAGAGAUCGCGUGUUCAAAUCUCGCCCCGGGCU